UACAGAUACAAUAGUUUUCUUGUCUGUCAUUUCAGGCCCAUGCAUGAAAUCACCUUUUCAACCAUUGACAAGCCAAAACUUCUCAGUGAGCUGACAUCUCUGCUUGGUGAGCUUGGUCUAAACAUUCAAGAAGCACAUGCAUUUUCAACAAAUGAUGGCUACUCACUUGAUGUCUUCGUUGUUGUCGGUUGGCAUGAUGAGG
Zea mays is the source of this 202-nucleotide long non-coding RNA. RefSeq lists it as uncharacterized. The transcript is spliced from 2 exons. The record is from RefSeq and is a predicted model, not a curated record. Lineage: Eukaryota; Viridiplantae; Streptophyta; Magnoliopsida; Poales; Poaceae.